Transfer RNA from Ovis aries (sheep), 72 nucleotides. It matches the Rfam family "tRNA". From Rfam's summary of the family: Transfer RNA (tRNA) molecules are approximately 80 nucleotides in length. Their secondary structure includes four short double-helical elements and three loops (D, anti-codon, and T loops). The record is from Rfam. NCBI's taxonomy places the organism in Eukaryota, Metazoa, Chordata, Mammalia, Artiodactyla, Bovidae.
UCCCUGGUGGUCCAGUGGUUAGGACUCAGUGCUUUCACUGCAGUUGCCUGGGUUCAGUCCCUGGUUGGGGAA